GGGGGGGGGAGGAGAGAGAGGGUGUAGCGCGGAUGCGAAUACUAAUAAUGGAAAACGUGCUUUCUCUGUUUCAGAUGACAUAGAAUGGGUUGGGUGGCGCUAGGGCGGUGUGCGGGUGGUGGCGGCCGCCUCUCGUCCGUCCUCUCGCUGUCUCUCACCUCCCUCGCAAGCUCCCUCAUCUUCACCAUCCUCUGUAUCCUCACACUUGCCCUCACUCUUGUCACCCUCGUGCGUGCCGAGGACAUGUACGUAUUAUCGAAUACGCGCACACACAACACGUAUACACACAUGAUAAUUAACCAAUCUGUUCGAUUCGACUUCGUCCAAGCUACUUCUCUUAACUUCCCGAUACGAUAUUUAAUAAACGAAGCAAAACGCGCAAGUUUGGUUAAGUCUUGCUUAGCACCGUCGAACGGAUCUGUUCGAUCGAUAAGUUCGAAGUUUCUUUACCAUGGAAUGUUUGGUAUCGAGAAGGGAAGAGGUCGCUACUAAUAGAGUGUAGAACAUUGUGUUGCUUGUGAUAGGAUCGAGAGGGCGACAUUAUAUAGCGAUUUGUUAGAGUGUUAUAUUCGAUGAUUAAGAUUUGAUCAAUUCGUGCAUGGAAAUAGAAUAGAGGAAGGGGGUGACGGGCAAGUUCUAUCUUUUCUAUAUAUCUUUCCUUUCCUGGAGAGAAGAAUCGAAAAGAGAAUUGAACGGAAAAGAGGGAGCCUUGUUCGUCACCCUUGGAAAUAGAGGUCGCCGCUACUAAUGUCGCCUAGAUUUCAUGUUCUGAAGGCUCUUACUAUUACUUGUUUUUUUUUUACAUUCGAUUAUUGUGCAAACUUGUCUUCGUUUUAUUAUUAAUCGUGGGACGCCGGUCGUGAAGGAAGCGAGAAAGUGUUCGCUUUAACUUUUCGGAUCGUAAACUUCAUUUAAUCGUCGUCGUCGUCGUCGUCGUCGUAAAGUUAAAUCCUUUACGUGUCUUUUACGAUCUUUUGAUUCGAUCCGAUCGAAUUUGACGAAAUAUAAUCGGAACGAAUAACUUUUCUCGCCUCGAUCGGCGUCCUAUUCGUUCGAUUGCAUCGUACGUCGUUUAGUAUAUCGUGUAGACAAGUUUGGAUUCCUAGUUUGUGAUCGCGAUGUAGUCACGAUCGAAGCAACGGAACAGUUAAUUAAUUAGCGUGUUGCAAAGAGAUAUAUAUAUAUAUAUACAUAUAAUAUAA
This is a long non-coding RNA of Apis florea (little honeybee), 1202 nucleotides long. NCBI's taxonomy places the organism in Eukaryota, Metazoa, Arthropoda, Insecta, Hymenoptera, Apidae. The record is from RefSeq and is a predicted model, not a curated record.